RNAcentral lists this long non-coding RNA (457 nucleotides) under Eucalyptus grandis. Its description in RNAcentral is "long non-coding RNA (EGRA_LNC006439)". The record is from RNAcentral. Lineage: Eukaryota; Viridiplantae; Streptophyta; Magnoliopsida; Myrtales; Myrtaceae.
GCUAGUUGAAAUGAAUCGAUUUUCCAAUUACAUAGAGAUUUUCAAGAACCCGAGGAUGAAAUUGGUGAUGGCAUAUAAGUUACAAUAGGGCGCCGACCUAUCUAGAAUCUGAAAUUUAUCAAUCAAAAUAGUUUCUCUGAUUUUUAAAAUCUAGAACCUAUCGUACAUUCCUUAGAACUUGCAACUGGAUAGAUUCCCACUAGUCUGGUUCUUCGGUUCCAGAUUCUAAUUCGAAACUAUGCUCAUCCCUAACUCGUGUAGUGGUACAAUGUUUUUUCUUGCCAUGUACCUAGCGAUACCCUCUUGAAGACUUCUAGGGCUCAAUUAGUCCUUGCUAAACUAACUACCGGCAUUCUUGAAGAGCUAGAGUUGCAUCUUUUAGUUUCAUUCCGGAAUGAGUUGCCUUUGUUGGGUUUCGGAUGAGAAUCCAAAUAAAGCCUUUUGAGGACCUGUUUAG